UGGCGGCGUGCCUAAUACAUGCAAGUAGAACGCUGAAGAGAGGAGCUUGCUCUUCUUGGAUGAGUUGCGAACGGGUGAGUAACGCGUAGGUAACCUGCCUUGUAGCGGGGGAUAACUAUUGGAAACGAUAGCUAAUACCGCAUAACAAUGGAUGACACAUGUCAUUUAUUUGAAAGGGGCAAUUGUUCCACUACAAGAUGGACCUGCGUUGUAUUAGCUAGUAGGUGAGGUAAUGGCUCACCUAGGCGACGAUACAUAGCCGACCUGAGAGGGUGAUCGGCCACACUGGGACUGAGACACGGCCCAGACUCCUACGGGAGGCAGCAGUAGGGAAUCUUCGGCAAUGGGGGCAACCCUGACCGAGCAACGCCGCGUGAGUGAAGAAGGUUUUCGGAUCGUAAAGCUCUGUUGUAAGUCAAGAACGGGUGUGAGAGUGGAAAGUUCACACUGUGACGGUAGCUUACCAGAAAGGGACGGCUAACUACGUGCCAGCAGCCGCGGUAAUACGUAGGUCCCGAGCGUUGUCCGGAUUUAUUGGGCGUAAAGCGAGCGCAGGCGGUUUGAUAAGUCUGAAGUUAAAGGCUGUGGCUCAACCAUAGUUCGCUUUGGAAACUGUCAAACUUGAGUGCAGAAGGGGAGAGUGGAAUUCCAUGUGUAGCGGUGAAAUGCGUAGAUAUAUGGAGGAACACCGGUGGCGAAAGCGGCUCUCUGGUCUGUAACUGACGCUGAGGCUCGAAAGCGUGGGGAGCGAACAGGAUUAGAUACCCUGGUAGUCCACGCCGUAAACGAUGAGUGCUAGGUGUUGGAUCCUUUCCGGGAUUCAGUGCCGCAGCUAACGCAUUAAGCACUCCGCCUGGGGAGUACGACCGCAAGGUUGAAACUCAAAGGAAUUGACGGGGGCCCGCACAAGCGGUGGAGCAUGUGGUUUAAUUCGAAGCAACGCGAAGAACCUUACCAGGUCUUGACAUCCCGAUGCUAUUUCUAGAGAUAGAAAGUUACUUCGGUACAUCGGUGACAGGUGGUGCAUGGUUGUCGUCAGCUCGUGUCGUGAGAUGUUGGGUUAAGUCCCGCAACGAGCGCAACCCCUAUUGUUAGUUGCCAUCAUUCAGUUGGGCACUCUAGCGAGACUGCCGGUAAUAAACCGGAGGAAGGUGGGGAUGACGUCAAAUCAUCAUGCCCCUUAUGACCUGGGCUACACACGUGCUACAAUGGUUGGUACAACGAGUUGCGAGUCGGUGACGGCGAGCUAAUCUCUUAAAGCCAAUCUCAGUUCGGAUUGUAGGCUGCAACUCGCCUACAUGAAGUCGGAAUCGCUAGUAAUCGCGGAUCAGCACGCCGCGGUGAAUACGUUCCCGGGCCUUGUAUUACACCGCCCGUCACACCACGAGAGUUUGUAACACCCGAAGUCGGUGAGGUAACCUUUUGGAGCCAGCCGCCUAAGGUGGGACAGAUGA
RNAcentral lists this ribosomal RNA (1454 nucleotides) under Streptococcus thermophilus. RNAcentral's name for it is "16S ribosomal RNA". It matches the Rfam family "Bacterial small subunit ribosomal RNA". The record is from RNAcentral. Lineage: Bacteria; Bacillati; Bacillota; Bacilli; Lactobacillales; Streptococcaceae.